CGCCUGUUUAACAAAAACAUGUCUUUUUGUUUAUAAUUUAAAGUCUAAUCUUCCCAUUGAUAAAAAUUAAAAGCCGCAGUAUUUUGACUGUGCAAAGGUAGCAUAAUCACUAGUUUCUUAAUUAGAAGCUUGAAUUAAUGAUUGAAUGAAAUAUAGGCUGUAUUUAUAUAAUUGGUAUAGAAAUCAAUGUUUAAGUUAAAAAGCUUAAAUUUAUUUAAAGGACGAGACCCUUUAAAGCUUUAUAUAAAAAUUAUAGGUACAUUUUGAUAAUAUUUAAAUUAUCUAUAAUUAUAUAUUUUAUUGGGGCGGUAGGAAAAUGUACACAUCUUUUUUUUUAAAACAAUUAUUAUUAAGGAGUUGAUCCAUAAUUUGUGAUUAUAAGAUUAAGUUACGUAAGGGAUGGCAGCUUAAUCUUUUUUGAGAGAACUAAUCGACAACAGAGCUUGCGACCUCGAUAUUGAAUUUUGAUAAGUUUUAGGUGCAGAAGUUUAAAAAUUUGGUGUGUUCGGCCAUUAAUUCUUACAUGAUCUGAGUUCAAACCGGAG
RNAcentral lists this ribosomal RNA (545 nucleotides) under Neopsylla biseta. RNAcentral describes it as "partial 16S ribosomal RNA". Lineage: Eukaryota; Metazoa; Arthropoda; Insecta; Siphonaptera; Ctenophthalmidae. The record is from RNAcentral.